This 466-nucleotide ribosomal RNA is filed under the name uncultured bacterium. RNAcentral describes it as "partial 16S ribosomal RNA". It matches the Rfam family "Bacterial small subunit ribosomal RNA", at positions 29 to 506 of the family's 1533-position model. The record is from RNAcentral.
ACGAACGCUGGCGGCGUGCUUAACACCUGCAAGUCGAACGGAAAGGCCCUGCUUUUGUGGGGUGCUCGAGUGGCGAACGGGUGAGUAACACGUGAGUAACCUGCCCUUGACUUUGGGAUAACUUCAGGAAACUGGGGCUAAUACCGGAUAGGAGCUCCUGCUGCAUGGUGGGGGUUGGAAAGUUUCGGCGGUUGGGGAUGGACUCGCGGCUUAUCAGCUUGUUGGUGGGGUAGUGGCUUACCAAGGCUUUGACGGGUAGCCGGCCUGAGAGGGUGACCGGCCACAUUGGGACUGAGAUACGGCCCAGACUCCUACGGGAGGCAGCAGUGGGGAAUAUUGCACAAUGGGCGGAAGCCUGAUGCAGCAACGCCGCGUGCGGGAUGACGGCCUUCGGGUGGUAAACCGCUUUCGCCUGUGACGAAGCGUGAGUGACGGUAAUGGGGAAAGAAGCACCGGCUAACUACGU